AGGGAUGAAGGUGCUCUGCAUUGUAAACCUCUGUAGUCGGGGAAAAACGGCGGGUUAUUACCCGUUUGAUGGUACCCGAAAAGUAAGGAUCGGCUAACUACGUGC
This 105-nucleotide ribosomal RNA is filed under the name uncultured bacterium. Its description in RNAcentral is "partial 16S ribosomal RNA". It matches the Rfam family "Bacterial small subunit ribosomal RNA", at positions 404 to 508 of the family's 1533-position model. The record is from RNAcentral.